Scatophagus argus is the source of this 260-nucleotide long non-coding RNA. RefSeq lists it as uncharacterized. The transcript is spliced from 3 exons. Lineage: Eukaryota; Metazoa; Chordata; Actinopteri; Scatophagidae. The record is from RefSeq and is a predicted model, not a curated record.
UCGUAGCACUUCCUGGCAUUCCCCCAGUUCCGUCCCGGCGUAGUGGUAGAGGCCGUUGGGGGUGCGCUAUGCUCCACUGGUUGCUCGCUGCGGGUCGUUUCUGUGUGGCGUCUAUUCCUCUGCUCCAUGCUGUGUCGUCCAGGACUGCCUGAUUGGUGCUGAACCUACGGUGGUGGGUGGUCCUGGUGGCGGUGUCCCUUUUGUGUUGUUUGCACAUCGGGUGGAUUUUUGUCCCAGUUUUGGUUUGCUUCACGUGUGGU